This 500-nucleotide ribosomal RNA is filed under the name uncultured Glomeromycotina. RNAcentral describes it as "partial small subunit ribosomal RNA". It matches the Rfam family "Eukaryotic small subunit ribosomal RNA", at positions 591 to 1092 of the family's 1831-position model. The record is from RNAcentral. Lineage: Eukaryota; Fungi; Glomeromycota.
CCAAUAGCGUUUAUUAAAGUUGUUGCAGUUAAAAAGCUCGUAGUUGAAUUUCGAGAUCAGUACGCUGGUCGUGCCUUCGGUAUGCGCUGGUGUCACUGGUUUCUCCCUUCUGAAGAACCGUCAUGCCAUUCAGUUGGUGUGGCGGGGAAUCAGGACUGUUACUUUGAAAAAAUUAGAGUGUUUAAAGCAGGCUCGCGCUUGAAUACAUUAGCAUGGAAUAAUGAAAUAGGACGUUUGACCCUAUUUUGUUGGUUUCUAGGAUCGACGUAAUGAUUAAUAGGGAUAGUUGGGGGCAUUAGUAUUCAAUUGUCAGAGGUGAAAUUCUUGGAUUUAUUGAAGACUAACUACUGCGAAAGCAUUUGCCAAGGAUGUUUUCAUUAAUCAAGAACGAAAGUUAGGGGAUCGAAGACGAUCAGAUACCGUCGUAGUCUUAACCAUAAACUAUGUCGACUAGGGAUCGGAUGAUGUUAAUUUUUUAAUGACUCAUUCGGCGCCUUACG